This 715-nucleotide small RNA is filed under the name Malus domestica (apple). RNAcentral describes it as "sRNA MD02G0037600". The record is from RNAcentral. Lineage: Eukaryota; Viridiplantae; Streptophyta; Magnoliopsida; Rosales; Rosaceae.
AUGAAUAGGUGAAUAGCUGUAAUCACUGCUAAUAAGUCAUUGUUAUAAUCUGUUGCAUAGUCUUUGUCUUUUCAUGUUCAUUUCCUUCCUCUUUUCCUUUCUUUCCCUUUUUAAACUGACAAAGAACUCCAAUACUCUCAUAGAGAAUUGUUGCAUCCAACAAUUUCUUUGUCACCUGAUCAUUCAUCUACUACCUCAGGCCACUUUCAGCUGGAACACCUGACUCUCUUGGUCUUUACCAUUUGAAGACAGGAGACUGUUAGAGUUUAAUAGCUGUACUAGCUAAUCACCGCCAAGAAAGUCAUCGUAUGCAAUUUGCGGCCAGAACUCCAAGUCCAGGUACUAUGUAUUAGGUACUAUGAUAUAGGUACCAUGCUAUAGAUACUAUGGUAUAGGUACCAUGGUUUAGGUUUUUUUGAAAAGUUGAUCUCAACGAAGGAUUAAACUCCACUAACCCCUAUUAAUUAUUAUGGAUGACUGUGCGGACUGAAGAAAGGUUGUCUUGGCUUUUGGUAUUUCAGUAUCAUCGGUUCGGCAACACAAACACAGCCACUGCCAUUUUUUCCGUCGUGAUCUUAACCACUGCAACGCCAUUACGGUGGAUACCGUCAUGACGGCCCAUGAAGCCUCCUCUUCAUCCUCCUCCGAGUCAAAACUUUGGAAUUACGACGUGUUCUUGAGCUUCAGUGGCGAAGACACGCGCCAUGGCUUCACG